ACUUUGGAACACCCACUUCUGAGGUGGGUGUUCUAUAUCUUGAUUGUGGUAGUGAUGGUUACUCAAGUCUAUGCAGUCGUUAAAAUCUAUCAAAUUAUACACUUAAAACUGGUGAAUUUUACUCUAUGUAAAUUAUACCUCACUAAAGCUGAUUUUUAAACAAUUCUUGCAAUGUUUCGCAUUUCCCUCAGCGUGAAUGACUCUGUAAGCCAACAGGCCCUUCAGGAUCUGAACCCACCACCACCCUCUCUCUGACCUUAUCCCUGGUCACUCUCCUUACACUUUGCUGCAGCUAACAGAGCCUCCUAGAUAUGAAGUCUUCUCAGACUGUGCAGAGAUGGUUCUUGCCAUGUUGUGCUGGCUGGACUCGAACUCCUGGAUUCAAGCAAUCCUCCUGCGGACUCAGAUGAUCCUUCUGCCUCAGCUUCCUGAGUAGCUGGGGUAAAGCUUAUAAAGUAAAAACUUUGAUAUCCCCAGCAGAAUCAUAACUUUUCACAGAGGCAUCUAAUUUCUUAACCUUAAAGCAGAAGAGAAACGUCUUUCAAAUUUUCCUAUGACGGUCAAGGAGUGGGGGUUGUGGAAUGUAUAUACUUAGAUGAAUUAAACUCAGACCUUCUCCGGUUGGAUGUUUGAGCCGCCCAGACAAAGAUGAAGAUUAACACAGUUUAAGGAUGAAAUAUAGACCAUCCUGUGCAAAACCACCGUGUUGCAGUUUAAUUAAAAGAAUUCAUUAAAGUGGUGCCCCAUCCAGGGUAA
This 756-nucleotide long non-coding RNA is filed under the name Homo sapiens (human). RNAcentral's name for it is "HSALNT0381545". The record is from RNAcentral. Lineage: Eukaryota; Metazoa; Chordata; Mammalia; Primates; Hominidae.